This 21-nucleotide non-coding RNA is filed under the name Arabidopsis thaliana (thale cress). The record is from RNAcentral. Lineage: Eukaryota; Viridiplantae; Streptophyta; Magnoliopsida; Brassicales; Brassicaceae.
AGUUCAAGUGUCUAGCAGCUU